UUUCUAAUCUUUUCUUCAAAAAAAAUUUAAAAAAAUAAAAAAUAAAGCUCCGUUUUGGUAUAGUUUUCUAAGAUUUAUUAUCUAAAAGUUACUUGAAAAAGUUAUAUAGUCUUUGCUAACAUGUGUUUACAUUGUCAUGCUCAGUGUGAUGAGACAAACAGUUUCUGCAGCAUGGAUCGGUCAAGUGAAUUGCCAGAUGAAAUUACUAUCUACAUUCUGUCAUUUUUGAAAUUGAAAGAAGCAGCAAGGAUUAGUGUCCUCUCUAGAAGGUACCGGGGACAUCUGUGGAAAUUUGCGUCCAGUAGCUUGGACUUUGAUGAUUCAUCGUUACAAUAUCUCAGGAAGAAGAGCUUUUUUAAAACUUUACCUGGAAUUGACAGGGAUAGGUAUGUCGGUUGGGUAAAUCACGUAUUGCGAUUGCAUCAAGCUCAUUCCAUAGAUGGGUUUAAAGUUUGUUUUCCUCUGGAUGAGUAGUAUAACAAAUUGGAUAUGGACAAUUGGAUACUUUUUUCACUGAGAAAGAAUGUGAAAAGGCUUUCAUUGGAUUUCAACCCUAUUUUUCAGAAGGUUUAUAGGGGAUAUUACACUCUUCCUACUCAGAUUCCUCAUGGUUAUAGCCUUGAUUCCCUAACAAACCUCUGUUUGAGUUAUGUGGAAGUGACCGGAAAAGUUCUUAAUUAUAUUUUAUCUAAUUGUCCAUAUAUUGAAGCAUUACACGUGGACUCCUCAGCAUCUUUAGUGAAUUUAAAGCCUUCUAGGCCUUUGCUCAAACUAAAGCACUUAGAGAUAUUACAUUGCGGCUAUUGAGAUUUCCGCUGUAAAUCUUGUUUCAUUCAAAUAUUUUGGGCUUAAGAUAAGGUUGUGUCUUGGGGAUGUUCCCAAUCUCGUUGAUGUGUCUGUGGAAGGUCUGUAUGCUAGCUAUUUCGUGCAGAAAUGUUGCCCUAUUUCAAGUUAUCUCUCUCAGCUGCAGACAAUUGUACUAGACGUGUCUGUUGAGAGGUUCCCUAAAUUUCCAAAGUAAAGAAACCUCAGGCAAUUAACAUUGAUUGUAUCUUCAUAUCUUGCCAACAGUCUCCUUUGUUGCACUUCCACGCUGAAGGCAUCUCCCUUUUUGCAUAAAUUUACACUUGAGUCGAUAGGGCUAGAUAAUGCCCUUGGCACAAUAAAGGAGCAGAGGGCUAAAUAUCCACACCAAUGCCUCAAGAUGCUUGAAUUGAUUGGAUUUGUGGGUGGUACACUUGACAUGGAGCUUGCCCUAGACGUACUCAACAAUGCUUUGUCAUUGGAGACGAUAAUUAUUGAUACGCGAAUUCCAUUUGGGAAGCAUAUUAGUGAUCCUGAGAAGAAAUUAACUGCUAUAGCUAGAGCCAGGCAACUAGAAACAACUUUACCACCAGGGAUUAAAAUGGUGAUAGUGUAAAUGUGUUGUGAAAUAUAAACCUUUAUGUAUUCAUGGAGUAAGCUUAGGGUGAAUGUAACUGUUAAGCUGUAUUUUC
This is a long non-coding RNA of Quercus robur (English oak), 1496 nucleotides long. RefSeq lists it as uncharacterized. The transcript is spliced from 3 exons. Lineage: Eukaryota; Viridiplantae; Streptophyta; Magnoliopsida; Fagales; Fagaceae. The record is from RefSeq and is a predicted model, not a curated record.